AGAGGCAUGGUUUCGUGGCUAGGAUACCUGGCUCUCAUCCAGGAGGCCCGGGUUUGAUUCCCUGUUCCAAAA
Molecule: non-coding RNA, 72 nt
Organism: Dryococelus australis
Lineage: Eukaryota; Metazoa; Arthropoda; Insecta; Phasmatodea; Phasmatidae
Source: the annotation of a GenBank genome assembly